AGUGAACGCUGGCGGUAGGCCUAACACAUGCAAGUCGAACGGCAGCACAGAGGAGCUUGCUACGUGGGUGGCAAGUGGCGGACGGGUGAGGAAUACAUCGGAAUCUACUCUGUCGUGGGGGAUAACGUAGGGAAACUUACGCUAAUACCGCAUACGACCUACGGGUGAAAGCAGGGGAUCUUCGGACCUUGCGGGAUCGAAUGAGCCGAUGUCGGAUGAGCUAGUUGGCGGGGUAAAGUCCCACCAAGGCGACGAUCCGUAGCUGGUCUGAGAGGAUGAUCAGCCACACUGGAAGUGAGACACGGUCCAGAAUCCUACGGGAGGCAGCAGUGGGGAAUAUUGGACAAUGGGCGCAAGCCUGAUCCAGCCAUACCGCGUGGGUGAAGAAGGCCUUCGGGUUGUAAAGCCCUUUUGUUGGGAAAGAAAUCCAGCUGGUUAAUACCCGGUUGGGAUGACGGUACCCAAAGAAUAAGCACCGGCUAACUUCGUGCCAGCCGCCGCCGUAA
RNAcentral lists this ribosomal RNA (506 nucleotides) under uncultured bacterium. RNAcentral describes it as "partial 16S ribosomal RNA". It matches the Rfam family "Bacterial small subunit ribosomal RNA", at positions 29 to 523 of the family's 1533-position model. The record is from RNAcentral.